Molecule: ribosomal RNA, 645 nt
Filed under: uncultured Bacillus sp.
Lineage: Bacteria; Bacillati; Bacillota; Bacilli; Caryophanales; Bacillaceae
Description: bacterial SSU rRNA
Rfam family: Bacterial small subunit ribosomal RNA
Source: RNAcentral
AGAGUUUGAUCAUGGCUCAGGACGAACSCUGGCGGCGUGCCUAAUACAUGCAAGUCGAGCGAAUCUUUGGGAGCUUGCUCCCAAAGGUUAGCGGCGGACGGGUGAGUAACACGUGGGCAACCUGCCUAUAAGACUGGGAUAACUUCGGGAAACCGGAGCUAAUACCGGAUAAUCCCUUUCCUCUCAUGAGGAAAGGCUGAAAGAUGGUUUCGGCUAUCACUUAUAGAUGGGCCCGCGGCGCAUUAGCUAGUUGGUGAGGUAACGGCUCACCAAGGCAACGAUGCGUAGCCGACCUGAGAGGGUGAUCGGCCACACUGGGACUGAGACACGGCCCAGACUCCUACGGGAGGCAGCAGUAGGGAAUCUUCCGCAAUGGACGAAAGUCUGACGGAGCAACGCCGCGUGAGUGAUGAAGGUUUUCGGAUCGUAAAGCUCUGUUGUUAGGGAAGAACAAGUACGAGAGUAACUGCUCGUACCUUGACGGUACCUAACCAGAAAGCCACGGCUAACUACGUGCCAGCAGCCGCGGUAAUACGUAGGUGGCAAGCGUUGUCCGGAAUUAUUGGGCGUAAAGCGCGCGCAGGCGGUCCUUUAAGUCUGAUGUGAAAGCCCACGGCUCAACCGUGGAGGGUCAUUGGAAACUGG